AGGACUAUAGCUCAGUGGUAGAACAUCUGCUUUGCAUGUUGAAGAUCCCAGGUUCAAUCCCUGGUGUCCCCA
Molecule: non-coding RNA, 72 nt
Organism: Podarcis lilfordi (Lilford's wall lizard)
Lineage: Eukaryota; Metazoa; Chordata; Lepidosauria; Squamata; Lacertidae
Source: the annotation of a GenBank genome assembly